RNAcentral lists this ribosomal RNA (2852 nucleotides) under Pseudomonas aeruginosa. RNAcentral's name for it is "bacterial LSU rRNA". It matches the Rfam family "Bacterial large subunit ribosomal RNA". The record is from RNAcentral. Lineage: Bacteria; Pseudomonadati; Pseudomonadota; Gammaproteobacteria; Pseudomonadales; Pseudomonadaceae.
GUUAUAUGGUCAAGUGAAGAAGCGCAUACGGUGGAUGCCUUGGCAGUCAGAGGCGAUGAAAGACGUGGUAGCCUGCGAAAAGCUUCGGGGAGUCGGCAAACAGACUUUGAUCCGGAGAUCUCUGAAUGGGGGAACCCACCUAGGAUAACCUAGGUAUCUUGUACUGAAUCCAUAGGUGCAAGAGGCGAACCAGGGGAACUGAAACAUCUAAGUACCCUGAGGAAAAGAAAUCAACCGAGAUUCCCUUAGUAGUGGCGAGCGAACGGGGAUUAGCCCUUAAGCUUCAUUGAUUUUAGCGGAACGCUCUGGAAAGUGCGGCCAUAGUGGGUGAUAGCCCCGUACGCGAAAGGAUCUUUGAAGUGAAAUCGAGUAGGACGGAGCACGAGAAACUUUGUCUGAACAUGGGGGGACCAUCCUCCAAGGCUAAAUACUACUGACUGACCGAUAGUGAACCAGUACCGUGAGGGAAAGGCGAAAAGAACCCCGGAGAGGGGAGUGAAAUAGAACCUGAAACCGUAUGCGUACAAGCAGUGGGAGCCUACUUGUUAGGUGACUGCGUACCUUUUGUAUAAUGGGUCAGCGACUUAUAUUCAGUGGCAAGCUUAACCGUAUAGGGUAGGCGUAGCGAAAGCGAGUCUUAAUAGGGCGUUUAGUCGCUGGGUAUAGACCCGAAACCGGGCGAUCUAUCCAUGAGCAGGUUGAAGGUUAGGUAACACUGACUGGAGGACCGAACCCACUCCCGUUGAAAAGGUAGGGGAUGACUUGUGGAUCGGAGUGAAAGGCUAAUCAAGCUCGGAGAUAGCUGGUUCUCCUCGAAAGCUAUUUAGGUAGCGCCUCAUGUAUCACUCUGGGGGGUAGAGCACUGUUUCGGCUAGGGGGUCAUCCCGACUUACCAAACCGAUGCAAACUCCGAAUACCCAGAAGUGCCGAGCAUGGGAGACACACGGCGGGUGCUAACGUCCGUCGUGAAAAGGGAAACAACCCAGACCGCCAGCUAAGGUCCCAAAGUUGUGGUUAAGUGGUAAACGAUGUGGGAAGGCUUAGACAGCUAGGAGGUUGGCUUAGAAGCAGCCACCCUUUAAAGAAAGCGUAAUAGCUCACUAGUCGAGUCGGCCUGCGCGGAAGAUGUAACGGGGCUCAAACCACACACCGAAGCUGCGGGUGUCACGUAAGUGACGCGGUAGAGGAGCGUUCUGUAAGCCUGUGAAGGUGAGUUGAGAAGCUUGCUGGAGGUAUCAGAAGUGCGAAUGCUGACAUGAGUAACGACAAUGGGUGUGAAAAACACCCACGCCGAAAGACCAAGGGUUCCUGCGCAACGUUAAUCGACGCAGGGUUAGUCGGUUCCUAAGGCGAGGCUGAAAAGCGUAGUCGAUGGGAAACAGGUUAAUAUUCCUGUACUUCUGGUUACUGCGAUGGAGGGACGGAGAAGGCUAGGCCAGCUUGGCGUUGGUUGUCCAAGUUUAAGGUGGUAGGCUGAAAUCUUAGGUAAAUCCGGGGUUUCAAGGCCGAGAGCUGAUGACGAGUCGUCUUUUAGAUGACGAAGUGGUUGAUGCCAUGCUUCCAAGAAAAGCUUCUAAGCUUCAGGUAACCAGGAACCGUACCCCAAACCGACACAGGUGGUCGGGUAGAGAAUACCAAGGCGCUUGAGAGAACUCGGGUGAAGGAACUAGGCAAAAUGGCACCGUAACUUCGGGAGAAGGUGCGCCGGCUAGGGUGAAGGAUUUACUCCGUAAGCUCUGGCUGGUCGAAGAUACCAGGCCGCUGCGACUGUUUAUUAAAAACACAGCACUCUGCAAACACGAAAGUGGACGUAUAGGGUGUGACGCCUGCCCGGUGCCGGAAGGUUAAUUGAUGGGGUUAGCGCAAGCGAAGCUCUUGAUCGAAGCCCCGGUAAACGGCGGCCGUAACUAUAACGGUCCUAAGGUAGCGAAAUUCCUUGUCGGGUAAGUUCCGACCUGCACGAAUGGCGUAACGAUGGCGGCGCUGUCUCCACCCGAGACUCAGUGAAAUUGAAAUCGCUGUGAAGAUGCAGUGUAUCCGCGGCUAGACGGAAAGACCCCGUGAACCUUUACUGUAGCUUUGCACUGGACUUUGAGCCUGCUUGUGUAGGAUAGGUGGGAGGCUUUGAAGCGUGGACGCCAGUUCGCGUGGAGCCAUCCUUGAAAUACCACCCUGGCAUGCUUGAGGUUCUAACUCUGGUCCGUGAUCCGGAUCGAGGACAGUGUAUGGUGGGCAGUUUGACUGGGGCGGUCUCCUCCUAAAGAGUAACGGAGGAGUACGAAGGUGCGCUCAGACCGGUCGGAAAUCGGUCGUAGAGUAUAAAGGCAAAAGCGCGCUUGACUGCGAGACAGACACGUCGAGCAGGUACGAAAGUAGGUCUUAGUGAUCCGGUGGUUCUGUAUGGAAGGGCCAUCGCUCAACGGAUAAAAGGUACUCCGGGGAUAACAGGCUGAUACCGCCCAAGAGUUCAUAUCGACGGCGGUGUUUGGCACCUCGAUGUCGGCUCAUCACAUCCUGGGGCUGAAGCCGGUCCCAAGGGUAUGGCUGUUCGCCAUUUAAAGUGGUACGCGAGCUGGGUUUAGAACGUCGUGAGACAGUUCGGUCCCUAUCUGCCGUGGACGUUUGAGAUUUGAGAGGGGCUGCUCCUAGUACGAGAGGACCGGAGUGGACGAACCUCUGGUGUUCCGGUUGUCACGCCAGUGGCAUUGCCGGGUAGCUAUGUUCGGAAAAGAUAACCGCUGAAAGCAUCUAAGCGGGAAACUUGCCUCAAGAUGAGAUCUCACUGGGAACUUGAUUCCCCUGAAGGGCCGUCGAAGACUACGACGUUGAUAGGCUGGGUGUGUAAGCGUUGU